GAUGAACGCUGGCGGCGUGCCUAAUACAUGCGAGUCGAGCGAACAGACGAGGAGCUUGCUCCUCUGACGUUAGCGGCGGACGGGUGAGUAACACGUGGAUAACCUACCUAUAAGACUAGGAUAACUUCGGGAAACCGGAGCUAAUACCGGAUAAUAUAUUGAACCGCAUGGUUCAAUAGUGAAAGACGGUUUUGCUGUCACUUAUAGAUGGAUCCGCGCCGCAUUAGCUAGUUGGUAAGGUAACGGCUUACCAAGGCAACGAUGCGUAGCCGACCUGAGAGGGUGAUCGGCCACACUGGAACUGAGACACGGUCCAGACUCCUACGGGAGGCAGCAGUAGGGAAUCUUCCGCAAUGGGCGAAAGCCUGACGGAGCAACGCCGCGUGAGUGAUGAAGGUCUUCGGAUCGUAAAACUCUGUUAUUAGGGAAGAACAAAUGUGUAAGUAACUAUGCACGUCUUGACGGUACCUAAUCAGAAAGCCACGGCUAACUACGUG
Molecule: ribosomal RNA, 497 nt
Filed under: uncultured bacterium
Lineage: Bacteria
Description: partial 16S ribosomal RNA
Rfam family: Bacterial small subunit ribosomal RNA
Source: RNAcentral